Long non-coding RNA from Vespula vulgaris, 2274 nucleotides. RefSeq lists it as uncharacterized. The record is from RefSeq and is a predicted model, not a curated record. NCBI's taxonomy places the organism in Eukaryota, Metazoa, Arthropoda, Insecta, Hymenoptera, Vespidae. The transcript is spliced from 3 exons.
UAAAAAUUUAUUUCAGACGGUAAUAAAUGCUGACUCAUUCUGUAUAUAUUAUGUACUUGUGUGUGUGUGUAAAACUUGUUAUACAUACACAUAUAUAGGAAAAUCAAGUACGUCUCGCCGAAGUACGUUCUGCCGUUUUUAAAUCAAAUACACGUGACUAUGUUACAACCUACUGUGUGUGAUGUCUGAUGUGUGUGUGUGUGCGCGAGUGCACGUGUGUGCGUGUGUACUUGAGUUUGGUUGGUUAUGUGCGUGCGUGCGUGCGCGAGUGAACUUGCUCGAAGUUUUCGUCGAGACAGUUUACUGCUUGCUUUCGUCUCUAUCGCGAAACCAGGCCAGAUUGUUUUCCGUCUGUGACGAAUGAUAACGAAUAUCAAGUAAUCAAAGACCGUAAGAGAAUGAGGUGACGAUUUAAUUCGUAAAAAAUUCUUGCAGAAUAGAAUAUUAUUAAAGCAUUUUAACAAAUUUAUUCGUUCAGCUUCCCUGUUUGAUUUUAUUGAUAAGACAUUGAGAAGAUAUUCUUAUUGCUGAAGGUAGAAAUUUUUAUUCAUCGUACAUUCAAUAAACAUUCAAUAUACAUGGAUAGCCAGAAAACUCUAUAUUGUAUCACAUGAUAUUUACUUAUAUUGUAUUUAAUAAUAUUAUCAAACAUUGAUUUACAUUAUAAAACACAUUGUUAAUUUUCCAUUUUUAUAUAACAGAUUACCAAAAAGUUUGUCCAUGAUGAUGUAUUGUCACAGUUAAAAUCUUCUCUCAAGAUAAAAAAAAAUUAAAAUUUAUAGAUAAUACUACCAUCAAUACUAUGCAUUAUCAACAAUAUUUCAAAAUUUUAUGAAUUAAAAAUUUUGUUCUUUUAAAUAAUUUUUUAUGUCAUAGAUCUCCUGUAUGAUUUCAUUAGUGAAACAAAUGAAAAGGACUACCUAAUGAAAACAGCAUUGAAUCUGACAGUGUUUACAGAUUUUGUGAGUGCAAUUUUCUUGGAUGAUUGCUAAAGCACAAUAAAAAUGAAUUCAAGCUUGUUUCAAUUUUUGUGCACAUAUACAUAUAUUCUUCUUUCAUUUUCUAGCUUUUUUAAUCUUUAUUUUAUUUUUAUGUUUUUUUUUCUAGCUCUUUAUUAUGUUAAUUUAAUUAUUUAUUUUUAACUAGUUUUUAUUUAUAAUUAUGUAGUUCCUUCUAAUUUAAGUUCAAUGGACUUAUGUCUAUUUUUCCACAUCUUCUGUUCUUCAACAACUUGUUUCUUUUACAUGUAUAAUAUUUUAAAUUGACUGACAUCAAAGCCAAACCAAUUUAUUCAUCUAGAACCAGUUAAAACAGUAAUAGGAUCUUUCUCUCAACCUGUAAGAUCUUUAGACUGAAAUGAUAUUUUAAAAAUUCAUGAAAAGUUCUUUGUGAUUAUAAAUUUUAUAAUUAUUAUCAGAGUUGCAUUAACUUGUAAACAAGUAUCAAUGAUUAAUAAAAAGAGUAUUAUAAUUAAUUAUUUCAAAAUUGAUCAGAAUUGCAUCAAGAUUAGAUUCAUUUAUAUUCAACAAGAAUAUCGUUUAUAUAAUUUCUAAAUAAAAAUAUUAAAUAUAUGGGUAUUCACAAAAUUCUUUGGACUCUCAGAAAUAAUAUAUGAAUGAUAUAAGAGAAAAGGGUAAUAAAAAAAAGUGCAUAAAUAAUUGAAUAAUUACAUUGUGAACUUUUUCUUUAUUUAUUCAUGUAAUUAACAUAUGUAUACAUUACUAUUUCAAGUUUCGCGCUGAAACGAUGGUCCAUCUCGUGCCAUCUGAUGUGAUAACUAGUACUAUUGUAUCUUCAAUAAUAAAAUCAGUGCACUGUACCCAGUGAGUGAAAUAAUGUUAGCAUACUGUACCAGUCGGACAAUCUCCUUUAUUUUCCCCUAUUGCCUGGAGGGAGGUAUGCAUCCGUCCACUUGAGAGUAAAAUUAUCUCUAGUUGCUCUCGAGAGUAUUUCUUAUUAUUGGAUGUUACGUUUGAGAGUUACUAUCCGAGAGCAAACUCAGCGUUUCUCAACUUUUGUUGUCGUACGACUCAAUACAUUGUUUAAUAACAAUACCAAGACUUACAAAUGUUUGUAAUAUAAAUUUUUAAGAAUACGAUAGAUUCAAAUGACCGUAUAUUUUUUUAAAGAUACAGCUGUUACUUUCGGAAUAUUUAGAAAUCGGCUAUUUACUCGCGAUAAUAUCCUAAAAAAAUUAAAAAAGAUUUUUUAUAUAAAUCAGCUUGCUUCAACGCAAGGUAACAAUUUUCAUUUAUGCGACUGAUUAAAAAUCUA